GCCCCUGUAGCUCAGCGGUAGAUCGCGUCCUUGGUAAGGACGAGGCCGCGGGUUCGAUUCCCGCCGGGGGCU
This 72-nucleotide transfer RNA is filed under the name Candidatus Micrarchaeota archaeon CG10_big_fil_rev_8_21_14_0_10_45_29. RNAcentral describes it as "tRNA-Thr". It matches the Rfam family "tRNA". Rfam says of the family: Transfer RNA (tRNA) molecules are approximately 80 nucleotides in length. Their secondary structure includes four short double-helical elements and three loops (D, anti-codon, and T loops). Further hydrogen bonds mediate the characteristic L-shaped molecular structure. tRNAs have two regions of fundamental functional importance: the anti-codon, which is responsible for specific mRNA codon recognition, and the 3' end, to which the tRNAs corresponding amino acid is attached (by aminoacyl-tRNA synthetases). tRNAs cope with the degeneracy of the genetic code in two manners: having more than one tRNA (with a specific anti-codon) for a particular amino acid; and 'wobble' base-pairing, i.e. permitting non-standard base-pairing at the 3rd anti-codon position. The record is from RNAcentral. Lineage: Archaea; Nanobdellati; Microcaldota.